GAUGAACGCUGGCGGCGUGCCUAAUACAUGCAAGUCGAGCGAACAGACGAGGAGCUUGCUCCUCUGACGUUAGCGGCGGACGGGUGAGUAACACGUGGAUAACCUACCUAUAAGACUGGGAUAACUUCGGGAAACCGGAGCUAAUACCGGAUAAUAUAUUGAACCGCAUGGUUCAAUAGUAAAAGACGGUUUUGCUGUCACUUAUAGAUGGAUCCGCGCCGCAUUAGCUAGUUGGUAAGGUAACGGCUUACCAAGGCAACGAUGCGUAGCCGACCUGAGAGGGUGAUCGGCCACACUGGAACUGAGACACGGUCCAGACUCCUACGGGAGGCAGCAGAGGGGAAUCUUCCGCAAUGGGCGAAAGCCUGACGGAGCAACGCCGCGUGGGUGAUGAAGGUCUUCGGAUCGUAAAACUCUGUUAUUAGGGAAGAACAAAUGUGUAAGUAACUAUGCACGUCUUGACGGUACCUAAUCAGAAAGCCACGGCUAACUACGUG
RNAcentral lists this ribosomal RNA (497 nucleotides) under uncultured bacterium. RNAcentral describes it as "partial 16S ribosomal RNA". It matches the Rfam family "Bacterial small subunit ribosomal RNA", at positions 28 to 507 of the family's 1533-position model. The record is from RNAcentral.